RNAcentral lists this ribosomal RNA (460 nucleotides) under uncultured bacterium. RNAcentral's name for it is "partial 16S ribosomal RNA". It matches the Rfam family "Bacterial small subunit ribosomal RNA", at positions 338 to 795 of the family's 1533-position model. The record is from RNAcentral.
CCUACGGGAGGCAGCAGUGAGGAAUAUUGGUCAAUGGCCGGAAGGCUGAACCAGCCAUGCCGCGUGAAGGUCAGUGCCCUAUGGGCGUUAAACUUCUUUUGUGCGGGAGCAAUAAUGGUCACGUGUGGCCAGACGAGAGUACCGUACGAAUAAGCAUCGGCUAACUCCGUGCCAGCAGCCGCGGUAAUACGGGGGAUGCAAGCGUUAUCCGGAUUUAUUGGGUUUAAAGGGUGCGUAGGCUGUGAGGUAAGUCAGCGGUGAAGUGCCCCCGCUCAACGGGGUGAAGUGCCAUUGAUACUGCCUGGCUGGAAUGCGGAUGCCGUGGGAGGAAUGUGUGGUGUAGCGGUGAAAUGCAUAGAUAUCACACAGAACACCGAUUGCGAAGGCAUCUCACGAAUCCGCGAUUGACGCUGAUGCACGAAAGCGUGGGUAUCAAACAGGAUUAGAUACCCUAGUAGUC